Molecule: small RNA, 5897 nt
Filed under: Rattus norvegicus (Norway rat)
Lineage: Eukaryota; Metazoa; Chordata; Mammalia; Rodentia; Muridae
Description: uncharacterized LOC102547667
Source: RNAcentral
GGACAGACAGAGAAUUGCAACUAGAAAUUCGAUCUAUUGGUACGAGACACCACGUGCUCGCGGGCUGGCCAAUGACCAGGACGCCCGGGAUGAGCUAAUAAUGGAAGCAAUUUGUAACUUUCAGUAGCUCUCUAGGCCUAGGUACCGGUGGGAGGGAGGCUGGCGGAGGGGGGGACAGCACCCCCAGUUUUUCUGCCCAGCUUGUUUGUCUGGGGAAACUCGGAGCCCCUGGCCCUCCUUUUCCCUUACGAGCAAUCUCGAGCAGAGUUCUUCGUUCACUCCUGACCGGACACACAGCCAGAUUCCUCCAUCUCAGAAGUCACACCUUCCAUAAUUCUCAGCUUUAAAUCAGCCCGCCCCCAGCCUCAGAGGGGUGCCUGGGAAGAAGAAUCAAGACUGACCUAUUCCUACACUGUCCCAACUGGGGACACCCCCAUCUGUUUCCAAAGUCAGCUGAGAUAGAACUCCCGGAAAAGAAAUACAAUGUUUACUUUCACUUUACUUUUGAUCAAGCUGGUUUCUCCAGUGGUGGGGGAAUCCUUUUGUGUUUGUUUGUUUUUUUUUAGACAACAUCUUACUAUGUAGCCUUGUCUGGCCUGAAAGUCAACUAUGUAGACCAGGCUGACUUCCAACUCUGAGCUCCACUUGCCUGUGCCUACCAAGUGCUGGGAUUAAAAGUCUGUGCCGUCACUCCUGGCUAAUUUUCUCUUUUAAAAGAUAUUACUAAGAAGGCAAACUAUUAGAGUGUGUAAUCUAGAGUUCUAAUCUACUCAGAAUUAUUGAAGCGUACAAAAGUUAGAUUGCAAGAGUAACUCACACUCUGGGGAGAUGGGAAGAUGGCUCAGGGUGACUGCAUUUGUAUCUCUGUGCUGGGCAGAAGAGUAGCUGCUCCUCCCUCUGGUUCCAGCCCCAUUGUCACAUUGACAUUCUGGGCACAUGUGGCCCAGCCCCCACCCGCUCCUCCAAGUAUGAAUCUAAAUUACUAUUAAUAAGGGGCUGCUCCAAGCUAAUUGGCAUUAAAAGAAUUCAUUUCAAUUUGUUAAUAUUAAAUGAACACUCUGCACUUUAGCUCCCUUCCUCGCCCUGGAUUCCCAGAUGAGUGAUGGGAAGCAGGGCGGGGGAGCAGGCAGGAUUUUAUGUCUGGCUUUCUAGCUUGGCCAUUGCUGGGCCUUCCCUGGGGUUGUGAGACCAGGCAAGGUGGAGACCUGAUGGGGAGAAAUAGGUCUUAUUCUUUAUCAUCCUGUAAAGCAGGAGCUGUGGGUUAAGGGUGGGUGAAUGAGGGUCAAAGGAGAGACACAAAAAGAUUUAGGGGUUAGUGUGGUAGAGAAAGGCAGCGGCUAGGAGACUAAGAAGGAAAGUCAGUGGGCUGAAUAGAAAUUUCAAAACACAGGGAUUGUGGGUAAUGGGUGAGUUAGAUUUAGGAGGAAAGGCCCAUGCAGCUGAAAAUCCAACCCCAGGGUUUAAGGCAGCAGCUGUGGUCCUGCAGUUGCUAGCAUGGGACCUUGGACUUUUCUGUCAUUUCAGUUUCUGGUCUGUGAAGCAAGGAUUGUAUAAUGAAGGAUCUGUCUUAGGGUUGUCUGAGAUUCCAUGAGACACACAUGAUGUAUUCUGCAUGGUGCUGGGUACAUAGAUAUAUGCACUACUACAUGUUGGCUCACUUUCUGAACCAGUAGCUGCUGGAUUGGACUCCCAGACCUGACUUGAAUUAGUUGUAUGCUCUCCAAGUGGUUAUCUGUUUUCUUAUUGGUAGCAGAGUGAAUAGCUCCUGGGCUCAGGCGUGGAAGGUAGAAGGGCAUUUCGGUGCGAAGUGCCUGGGACAACUCAAGUCUCAUCAUGCUACAUGAAAGCUUCUGUGGCCGAUGUUGCCCUUUGGACCUCACUCAGCAGGAGCCAAAACAAGAUCCAAGGAGAAGGGGACCUGACAAAGUGCAAGGGACAAAGUAUCCACGUUGAAACUUGAGCUCUUUUUUUCCUCUUUACUAUAGAAAAAAUGCACAGGAUGGUUACAUGCUUGUAUAGUAGUCAUGAAGUCUUGACUUUUGGGUUUUGUUAUGAGACAGGAUCUCUCCUGCAGCCCAAGCUGGCCCGAAACUUGCUAUGUAGCAUAGAUGACCUUGGACUUCUGGUUCUCCUGACUCUGCUUCUCAAGUGCUGGGCUCACAGGUAGGAGUUACCAUGUCUGGUCGAUAGAACACACAUCUCAAUGCCUCCUUCCCAUGCUGUAUAUUUCUGAAGGAGGCGGCAAAAGCAAUCGCCUGAAGGGAAAGGCAGCACAUACGUAAAGUCAGGGGCAGGAUGGGGCCAGAUCACUACAGAAGAUGGAGUGUGCAUCGGGGAGGGGGCUAAUAUUCUGAUAUUCCGUCUGAGACUUCCCAGAGCAGGUAACUAUGGGUCAGGAUUUCAGUGGAUGUGAAAGGUAAUGAGGACAGAAAACAUAGGGACGGAGUUACACAUUCUAGAGGAAGGAGAAGAAGAAAAGAUCCUGCCAAGGCUGGCUAAGAGUGGAGAGAUAAAGCACAUCUGCCUUGCUGGCACCAAGUCAAAGCAAUCACCACUCACUGAGGGCACACACUGUGUGUAAGGCACAUAAGAGACCUCAAUUGGUGCUCACAACAGUUUUGACAAGUGGGUUGUAGCACCUCUGAAGGCUCCUGCUCCUGAGAGUCUACGUUGGGUCUUAGCAUAGUUGAUCCGCACAGAACUCAUGCUUAGGAUAAUCACCCUUGCUGUCUGUCCCUCCUUCCAUUCCAGUUUCAGGCUGUCCAGUGGCCCCACUUUUAUAGUCACACUUAGAAACUGGGGGAAAGGGGUUAGCAGUGGGUGAGACCAUGAGAGGGAGUUGUGGUCAGGCAGUGGAGACAGGAACUGUUCUCAUCUCUACACCAAGAAGGAUGAAGGAAUUCUCUAUGGACAGAGCUGCUAAGUCACUCUUCUGGGGCUGCUGCUUGUGGGUGAAUCACAGGGGCCUGACUGGGCUGCAACUCUUCUAGGUGAUGGUUUUUGUGGCUUUUCCCCAGGGACAUCCAGUAGAGAUUUGAGUCAUCAGUAAAGAGUGUCAGUUGUCACAGAAGUCUAUUCUCUGUUUGUAUGACCACAGAGAGCCUUCUAUUCUAACACCACUUCCCAGCAUCCUGGUCAGGUGUGGCCAGUGGAAGCAAGAGCCCAGUGAGGCUGCUCAAGCCCUAGGGCAUGGUAAGUUCUUUGUGCACCAUUUCUCAUGUCAUGGAGGAUACUGAGAUGAGGUCUGGCUAGAAGCUUAAGGAGCAAAGCAACAAUGUUGAGAGGAACCCAAGUCCCCAAGCAACAGGUGGAAGAGAGCUGACUGCACUCUGCUUGCUCCAUUGUACUGCCAUUUCCAUGACAGAUACACUGUUUCCUCUGCCACUGUUUGAGACCUUUUUUUUUUUUUAUAACUUUUAUUGGUUAGCCUUCCUAAUACACUUUCCCACUGCACACCUGCCAACUUAAACUCAUGUUAAGGGUCACACCUGAGGUGGAAUGGUGAUAAUGAUGACAUUAGUUGAGUCAGAGGCUAGGCUAAGAUGUCUAAGUCUGCAUAGCCCUGAAAACCCUCUGAGAAAGUGUUAAAAUUUCCACGUUAUGAAUAAGGUUUAAAGAAAGUAGCCGAGCUGCCUUACACCAUUUAUUUAUUUAUUUAUUUAUUUAUUUAUUUAUUUAUUUAUUUAUUUAUUUUUUGAGAUAGAAUCUGUAAGACAAACUGACCUACAAAAUCACCAUACAGCUCAGGCUGGCCUUGCAUUUACCUCAAUUCUUCUUGCUUUGGCCUUCCAAAUGCUAAACUUGGAGUUGCGAUCCCCCAUGCCUGGUAAUCUUUGAGGGAUGUUGAUAUGAAGUCUAGGCUAACCUUGAAUUCAUAAUCAUCCUGACUCUUAAGUGCUAAGAUUAAAGAUGUGCUCCGUCAUGUUAGACUCUAGGUGCAUUCCUCCUCACCUUGGGCCAAAUCCACUCCUCAGGUUAGAACUAGAAGGAACCUUGGAGAAGAAUCCAUACUAAGUUAAUCAGAGAGGUCUGGGAAUUCCAGUACUUCUCUCAAGAAUCAUGGGGGAUACUCACUUUAAAUGUUGGGGUGCUAUGUAAGGCUUUAACAAAGGAAGGGGGCUAGGCAUGGUGGCACAGACCUAUAAAGCAAGCCCUGAGGAGGAGGAGGCAGCAGGAGUUCAAGAACAACUUCAGCUGUACAAGUUGAACACCCUAUCUCAGAACAACAGAAGAGCCAGACAUUGCAACUGGUCAAAACCUCUGAUGGCUAUGACUCUCUCUGUGCCUCUGGAUAGCCUCGGUCAUCUAGAAUGAGGGGUGUGCACACGUGUUUUUCCUUCCCAAGCCAGAGCUUGGGAGGUCAGACUGCAUUCGGACUCCCAGGCUCCUCCUGUUGGCUAUCUGCCCUGAUGUGCACCUUUUCUCCACCCUCCUUGUCACCAGAUGCUAGGGAAGGCAUGCAGGGGCCAGAGCCAAAGCAGGAAAAGGGACCCCUUAGCCCUCUCUAGUCUUUGCACAUUUCUAUGUGGAACUAGGGCCUCUCUUCCCCUAGGCCACACCUCUUAGCCCACCAGGAAGGAGAAAGGGAAAUUGUCAUAAAUCCCCCUAUUUAUACAAGAAGACAGUGUGUUUCUUGUGCCAGAAAAAACACAGAAAGGGAGCUGUCAGGGAAGAAGGGACCCAGCCCCAGAUCUUGAGGGGUCAAUUUAUCUUCCCCAGUCGUGGCUUGGGGACUACCGCAGCACUAGCUGUGGGAGAUGCAGGCUGGGAGUUGGGGGGCAGCCAGGAUAGCACUGCAUAGCCUUUGUUUCUGACCUCAGCCUUUCUGCUUCAUCUGAGAGGCUCCCUUCCCUGACACUCUUUUUUCAAAACAACUUUCCUAAGGUGUAACUCACACGGAGCACAACCCUACUUGGAACGGACAGUUCAUGGCUUUAGAAUUUCCAUGGACAUGUGCAACUGACAGCACAAUCGGUAUAAGAGUAUUCUGAGUCCUCAGAGAGCAGCCUCCUGCUCACAGGUGACCACUUCCUUAUCCUGGAUAUCCCUUCUGAUUGAGCAGCCAAGGAGCUGCCUUCUACCUCAAUGUCUUUCCUAUUCAGGACUGCGAUAGGAAUGGCUUCAUGCAGUAGGUGGCCUUCUGUGAUUGGUUCCUUUUCCUUGGUUAUGCCAUGUCAAAGCACACAACUACCCUUGUUCCUUCUCACGGAUAAGUGACUUCAACGGUUGACAGACCACAUUCUGGGUAUGUAUUCAUCAGUACAUGGGCAUUUGGGUGUUCCCAUGUCCAGACAUUAUGAUUCUCUAUGUCUUUAGACAGUUUGAAUCAUCUAGAGUGAUGUCUGUGGCCAGAAAGAAGCCUGACUUGUGAGUGGGAGCCUCCGGUGUCCAUGGAAGCCAGGCCUUUGCACUUGGUUCUGGUGCUUCUCCCCGGGUUAAAUUGCUGAGGAUGGCCUCCUUUAUCCAGUAGCUCUCCCUUUGGACCCAUGCUGUCCUGAGACCCCUCUCCUGCAGCUCCAGAGUCUAAGUGGAUAAACAGAAAUACUUCCCCAAGGACGGCCCCAUGCAAUCCUUUGUGCCAGUAAAUGGAAACCCCUGGGCCAAGGGAAAGUCAAAUUCUUGAGGGUGUGGCUGCUUCAGAGUCCAUCCAGGUCUCCUUCCCAUGUCCCCACCUCACCUCUCUCAGUCUACUCUUUCUACUGACACCAGACCCUGCCCUACCUGCAUCAACCCUGCUAUACCAGUGGGACCAGCAGGAUGCGUACAAGAAGUCCAAAUAGUGCCAGGUUGCAUUUGUUGAACGAGUGGAUGAGGGAUGACUCCUUACUCUGGGAAUGCACUGUGGAGAGAAUCAGUUAGAAAGCCUCUUUCUGGCUGGGGAUUUAGCUCAGUGGUAG